UAGUUGGCCGGUGCUUCUUCUGUACCUACCGUCACUUGCGCUUCGUCGGUACUGAAAGAGGUUACAACCGAAGGCCGUUAUCCCUCACGCGGCGUUGCUGGAUCAGGCUUCCGCCCAUUGUCCAAUAUUCCCC
RNAcentral lists this ribosomal RNA (133 nucleotides) under uncultured bacterium. Its description in RNAcentral is "partial 16S ribosomal RNA". The record is from RNAcentral.